AGAGUUUGAUCAUGGCUCAGGAUAAACGCUGGCGGCGUGCCUAACACAUGCAAGUCGAACGAUCCCGCAAGGGAGAGUGGCGGAAGGGUGAGUAACACGUGGGAAUCUACCUCCUCGCAGGGAACAACCUCUCGAAAGAGAGGCUAAUACCCAAAAGGGUCAGAAAUGAUCAGAGUCGAAAGGCGUGAGGAGAGGAGCCCGCGGCCCAUCAGCUAGUUGGUGAGGUAAUGGCUUACCAAGGCUACGACGGGUAGGGGAUCUGAGAGGAUGUCCCCCACACUGGAACUGAAACACGGUCCAGACGCCUACGGGUGGCAGCAGUGAGGAAUAUUGGACAAUGGGCGAAAGCCCGAUCCAGCAACGCCGCAUGGAGGAUGAAGGCCUUCGGGUCGUAAACUUCUUUAGAGGGAGACGAGAAAGGACGGUAUCCCUAGAAUAAGCGACGGCAAACUACGUG
RNAcentral lists this ribosomal RNA (457 nucleotides) under uncultured bacterium. RNAcentral describes it as "bacterial SSU rRNA". It matches the Rfam family "Bacterial small subunit ribosomal RNA", at positions 8 to 507 of the family's 1533-position model. The record is from RNAcentral.